Molecule: long non-coding RNA, 1034 nt
Filed under: Canis lupus familiaris (dog)
Lineage: Eukaryota; Metazoa; Chordata; Mammalia; Carnivora; Canidae
Description: lncRNA (ENSCAFG00040000978.1)
Source: RNAcentral
AUUUAUUUAAAAGGGACAAGGAGCCAAGCUAUUACCUAUUUUUAGGGUAAGAAAUAUGGAGCUUAAUAAAGUUUAUGUCUUUUCUCUAAGUUAUGCUUCAAAGCCAAGUCAGUACUUAAACCCAGGUCAGACUUUCUCCAAAAUGUUUGUUUCUUCUUAAAAAGUUAUCUAGGGAAUAAAUAUGCCAAUUGGCAGAACAUAGGGUACCAAACUUCCCGUAAAUACUUUGAUUCACUAAAUCUGUCUAAAACCCAGGAGAACUUCUACAAUAUUGACUAUUAGUAGCAACAUGUACAACUAUUAGCUCAAUUUUGUAUAUGAGGAAAUGACACGAUCACAUAGUCAAAGGACACACUGUGACUUCUCAGCUUGAAGUUUUUUCAUGAUUCUAGGUAAUCUUCCAAUAAAUGUGAUGCAAUUCCUGUAUCUCCACAGCCCCUUCUUUACUUGGUUAGUGAUUGCCUCCUCAUCUCAAAGGGACUAAGCAAACAUCACUUACAUGAUGUAGUUUUGCUCAAACACUGACUCCACACAAAAUAUGUUUUACUUAUUUGCGUAUUUUUGGCAUAUAGUAAUUCUAUGAUAAGCUGUUUAGGUUAAAAAUGAUUCCGUAAUUUCAAUGUUGUGUAUUUAAAGUUCACAUUUCUUUUUUCUUAUUUUUAUUUAUUUUGUGGCAAAAUCUUUCUUAGUCACAGCUUUCAAAAUCAGAUUAAGGCUGUUAUUUCCCUUUAAACAUUGCUAACAUUUUAUUCAGGGAUAUUUUCCCUUAGUGAGAAACAGUAGAAAUUGGCAUCAUACCAAGUAGGCUGAUUCAGCAAGAAUGCACCUGGCAAACAACCGAUUUUGUUUUAUACUUUUGGGUUUUCUGUUAUAAAAAGCUAUAAUGGGUCACAGUAACUGGGGACAAAAUGCCCAUGCAAAUUAGGUUUUAUUUCCUUACUGUCUUUACCACCUAUGUUGAUUCUUUUGUUCAUAGAGAAGCCUUACAUAUUUCUUGGCCAUGUAUGUCAUGUCACAUACAAAUGGAGAAGCAC